CUACGGGGGGCUGCAGUGAGGAAUUUUCGACAAUGGGCGCAAGCCUGAUCGAGCAAUACCGCGUGAAGGAUGACCCCCUUCGGGGUGUAAACUUCUUUUAUAAACUAGAAUAAUGAUCGGUUUAUGAAUAAGUCACGGCUAACUACGUGCCAGCAGCCGCGGUAAUACGUAGGUGGCAAGCGUUACCCGGAAUUAUUGGGCGUAAAGCGUCUGUAGGCGGAUAUAAAAGUCUGGUGUUAAAUCCUGAGGCUCAACCUCAGAAUCGUACCGGAAACUAUAUGUCUAGAGGAUGUCAGAGGUCUGUGGAAUUCUAGGAGUAGGGGUAAUAUCCGUAGAUACCUAGAGGAACACCAAUAGCGAAGGCAGCAGACUGGGGCAUUCCUGACGCUCAGAGACGAAAGCGUGGGGAGCGAAAAGGAUUAGAUACCCGUGUAGUC
RNAcentral lists this ribosomal RNA (437 nucleotides) under uncultured bacterium. RNAcentral's name for it is "partial 16S ribosomal RNA". It matches the Rfam family "Bacterial small subunit ribosomal RNA", at positions 339 to 795 of the family's 1533-position model. The record is from RNAcentral.